CAAUAGCGUAUAUUAAAGUUGUUGCGGUUAAAAAGCUCGUAGUUGGAUUUCUGCUGAGAACGACCGGUCCGCCCUCUGGGUGUGUAUCUGGCUCUUUCUUGGCAUCUUCUUGGUGAACGUUGCUGCACUUGACUGUGUGGAGCGCUACCCAGGACUUUUACUUUGAGGAAAUUAGAGUGUUUCAAGCAGGCAUACGCCUUGAAUACAUUAGCAUGGAAUAAUAAGAUAGGACCUCGGUUCUAUUUUGUUGGUUUCUAGAGCUGAGGUAAUGAUUAAUAGGGAUAGUUGGGGGCAUUCGUAUUUAACUGUCAGAGGUGAAAUUCUCGGAUUUGUUAAAGACGGACUACUGCGAAAGCAUUUGCCAAGGAUGUUUUCAUUG
Molecule: ribosomal RNA, 379 nt
Filed under: uncultured eukaryote
Lineage: Eukaryota
Description: partial 18S ribosomal RNA
Rfam family: Eukaryotic small subunit ribosomal RNA
Source: RNAcentral